GGAUCCAGCAAAAUCAUUGCAGUGGCCUGGGUUACUGCUGUGGUGAGGGUUUAGUCCCUGGCCCAGGAACUUGCAUAUGUGAAGGGUGUACUCAAAAAAAAAAAAGAAUAAAUUCUAUAGAAGGGGGUGGUAAGUUACUUACCUCACACUUGAUGCCAUUACCUGAAAUCUGGGCUCACCUCUUGAGCCAAAAUACACAGCCAAGCCAAAGACCAGGAGAAGGAAAGAUUUAUUACUUGCAGCAAGUAAGGAGAACACCAAGAAUCUUUCCUAAAACAGUGUCUCUCCAAACAGCAAAAUUAGGGAAGUUUUAAGCUAAGGGUACAGGCAUAUCUAUGAAGGAACUUGGGCAGUCCAAACUUGAGUUCGCCGAAGCCAGAGAAAGUCAACCUCAUCAUCCCUUAGGUUCCAGUUGAUCUGGUGGCUGAGGGCCUGGGGAGUUUAAAUUCUGCAAAACAGCCCAAGAAAAUGCCUCAGCAUAAGCUUUAUCACUAAAACAGACCUGGGCAUCUCUACAACUGAUUUAUUAUCUUUGCUAUCGUUACUUCUCUCUCUCUCUCUCUCUCUUUUUUUUUUUUUUUUUUUUUUUUUUUUUUGCUUGGCGUCUGAAGUUCCCAGGCUAGGGGUCUUAUCGGAGCUGUAGCCGCUGGCCUACACCAGAGCCACAGCAACACAGGAUCCGAGCCGCAUCUGCAACCUACAUCACAGCUCACAGCAACGCCGGAUUGUUAACCCACUGAGCAAGGGCAGGGACCGAACCCGCAACCUCAUGGUUCCUAGUCGGAUUCGUUAACCACUGCGCCACGACAGGAACUCCCCUUUAAGAUCAUUAUUAAUGAGACCUAUUCAAGGGCAAGUGUUCUGAUCAGGCUUAGAUCACAAAAUGGUUUUAGGCCUAAAAUGGCUUCUCUUAUGUUAAAAAACUAUCUGGGAGUUCUUGUGCAGCGGCUUAAGGAUCUAGCAUUGUCACUGCAAUGGCUUGGGUCACUGCUGUGGUGCACGGUCUAUCUCUGGCCAGGAACUUUCAUAUGCUGUGAGCAAGGCCAGAAAAAAAAAAAAGCUUUGUCUGGAGCCCUACUCUAUCUGCUUAGAGCUGGUCAUACCUCCAGGUGAUUUCCUGAAGCAAAUGCAAUUCCUCUAAGGCUUCAGUUCCCAUAUGUAAACUUCCAAGGCAAACGAACAGCCCUGUUUAAAGAUUGUAAGGUGCUGGAGCUCCGUCAUGGCUCAGCGGUAGUGAAUCUGACUAAUGUCCAUUAGGAAGCAGGUUGGAUCCCUGGCCCCGCUCAGUGGAUUAAGGAUUGGUGUUGCUGUGAGCUGUGGGGUAGGUCAUAGACGAGGCUCAGAUCUGGCGUUGCUGUGGCAGCUCCAAUUCGACCCCUAGCCUGGGAACCUCCGUAUGCCGCAGAUGCAGCCCUAAAAAACAAGAAAAAAAUUAUAAGGUGCACAAAGAAAACACCACAAGUGAAUAAGGAGACAAAGACACACAAAAGCUCUUGCUUUUUAGGGCUGCACCUGUGAUAUAUGCAGGUUCUCAGGCUAGGGGUAGAAUCAGAGCUACAGCGGCCAGCCUACACCACAGCCACAGCCACGCCAGAUCCAAGCUGCACCUGCGACCUACACCACAGCUCACAGCAAUACUGGUUCCUUAACCCACUGAGGCCAGGGAUCGAAAACUCAUGGUUCCUAGUCGGAUUCGUUUCCCCUGUGCCACGAUGGGAACUCCAAAACAUUGUCAGACAAAGGCAGGGUUUUCCUCAGGUAAUAUAGGAUAUCCUGAGGCAGAAAUAAAAUGAUUUUAAAAGGAAGUCAGAUGCAAGAAGGAACACUGAACACAGAUAUUGGUAAGUAAUGGUGAAAGUGAGCAAGAAUUAACUGUAAAAGCAUGGUAUGCAAUUUGUUGGAGGAAAAUAAGGAACAGAAUUAAAAUCCUGGGCAACAAUAGUGUGUAACUUGGGGCGACUAGGACCCUAAUUUUCAUGUUCUUAUAUUCAGGAGGAAAAGUGAAGAUAUUAGGACUUUUGUGGAAUUGUACAUAGUAGCUAGAAGAAUCACGACAGUAUAUCACCUUCAAACAAGUAGGGAAGGAGGGAAGAGGAGGGUGGGGGGAUUAGAUUUGGUACUGCCUCUGAUAGAACAAUCUAAGCUCCCAGGGUAUCAAUUAUAAAAGAGGUGGUGAGAGCCUACCUCUUUAUCACAGUACUGGGGCAGUAAGGGCAGAUGAAGUAGAUGUGUGCAGAAGAACAGGGAGUGAAGUGUAAGAAGGGCCAAGAGCACAGGUCCAAGAAAAUUUCCAUUAAAACAAAGUUAAAAUUAUUUGCUGGCUGGUGUGUGACUUGAUCAGGCUGACUUAAAGAUAAAAGGUCAGGAGAGAAUAUUUUUAUAUAUCGCUGACUGAAUUGCUGACUCCUGGAGUUCUUUAGGAUUUGAAACCUUAGUUUUACACCAGAGGAAGAAGAGUUAACAGAAGAUUGGAUCCAUGCUCUCAGCUUUCAGAUCCCAGCGUAAGAUUCAAAUAAAUACUAUAGGACGAUCAGAAAAAAAAAUCACCCCCAAAUGAAACAGAUCAAAGCAAAUUCUACUCUUUGCUGCUAGUUAUUUCUCUGAAUUGGGAAGCCAUGAAGGCUUUUGUUUUUUUUUUUUUUUUUGGCCAGGUUCAUGGCCUGCGGAAAUUCCUGGUCCAGGGAUCAAACUUGCACCACAGCAGUGACAAUGCUGGAUUCUUAACCCACUGUGCCACCAGGGAGGUCCCAUACAGGCCUCUUAAAAAGUCUGAGAGUUCUCUAGUUUCCUGCCCCUAGUGACAUCACCAGCAUUCUAGGAAACAAAUUCUCUAGUACUUCUUUCAGUUCUCUUUUUCAGGGCCUCCUUUCACUUCUUAAAUAUUGAUACGCCACCAGGGUUCAAAUCUGAUCUGCUUCUGACUUGAUACUGAUGGAAUUCCUAGAAAGUACGCUGACUCAACCUGAUUCUUACUGUGUCUUCUCUGCAUUUUUAAAAGUUAGGCCCCAAGUUCUCCUGUAGGUCUGGUGGAUGUUUGACAGUGGACACUUGGUCACUCUGUGCUACUCCACUUUGUAAAGUGGUAACUCUGAGUAAUGGUUACAUCACUGCCAGCUGCUUUGUAACCUGCCUUUUACAUAAUGUCACUGAAAUGAUACUGACUUUUCUAAAGCGAAAUCCUGCACAUUUUUGUCAAUAAAUAUUUUGUACAAAUGCUAGGACCAAAGGCUAUAUCUGUUUUUGAAGUGCUCCAGUCCCAGGAAUAGAGGUAUUAAAUUUAUAAAUCACUGUGAUAAGCAUUAUUAUAAUGAUGCCUUUCUAGGAUUAGAAGGGUGAACUCUGAUGGGAGGAGGGCAAGGCUUCACUGAGAGAUGAUAUUUUGGUUGGUUUGAAAGGAUACUAGUAUUCCAUCAAUUGCAGAAGAUGGGAAUCAUGCAGGACAAUCAGAAUAAUGUGCAAAACAUUUCAUCUAAUAAAUUCAGUAAUUGAAAUAUCACCAUUUUGCAGUACUUAAUAAAUAGGAUAAUCAUUAAUAAUUAUUAAUACAUGCUUGAUACUAUGUAUUAAUAGCAUUGAGAAUCACACCUGUUCACAUCACAAAAGGAGACAAUUGGCUACCACAUAAAAAGCGUUCUUCUGUUUGUUUGUUUUGUUUUUUUAGGGCUGCACCCAUGGCAUAUGGCAGUUGCCAGGUUAGGGGUUGAAUCCAAGCUCUAGCUGCUGGCUUAUACCACAGCUCACAGCAAUGUCAGAUCUGAGCCAUGUCUGCGACCACAGCUCACCGAAACGCCAGAUCCUUAACCCACUGGGCAAAGUCAGGGAUUGAACCUGAGUCCUCAAGGAUAUUAGCUGGGUUUAUUACCAUUGAGCCACGAUGGGAACGCCCCAGAGUGUUUUUUUUUCCCUUUUUUUUUUUUUUUUUUAAAUCAAGCCUGAGUCUGAUCAAACUGUAAGUACAAUUUCUAUUUUAUAGGAAAUACAGAGGAAGUGGGAAACGUUAAAUGACACCAUGGGGAUGAAAUUAGCAAAAUGAAAGAGUUACAAAACAAAUGACAAAAAAUAAAUUAAUUGUAAGGAGAAAAAAGAUGGGAGUUCCUGUUGUGGUACAGCAGGAUCAGUGACGUUUUUCAGGUUCUAUUCCCGGUGGGCACAGUGGGUUAAAGCAUCUGGCGUCCCUUGCCUGGGAACUCCAUGUGCCACAAGGUGGCCAAAAAUGAAAACAAAAACAAAAAAAAAAAAAAGGAAAAAAGAUGGAUACUUAUAGAUACUUACACUUUUAGAAAGACAUCAAUCUCUGUAGAUUAAAAGACAUCAGCCAGUCACAAUUAUGGGUCUUCUUUGGAUUCUGAUAUAAAAAUAACAUUUUAUGAGAAAAUUGGAAAUUUGAAUCCUGGAUACUUGAUUUUACUAAGUAAUUGUUAUUUUUUAGAUGUGAUGCUGGUGUUGGGUUAUAAUUAAUUCCUUGUCGAUUUGAACAGUGAGAUGAAAUUCUUUUUUUUUUUUUUUUCCCUUUUUAGGGCCAUACCCUUGGCAUAUGGAAGUUUCCAGGUUAGGGGCUGAAUGGAGCUAUAGCUUCCGGCCUACGCUGCAGUCACAGCAACGCCAGAUCUGAGCCCCAUCUGCAACCUACACCACAGCUCACGGCAACCCUGGAUCCAUAACCCACUAAGCAAGGCCAGGAAUUGAACCUGCAUUCUCAUUGAUACUAGUCAGAUUUGUUUCUGCUUCACCACAAUGGGAACUCGGUGUGAUGUAAUUCUAAUUGAUGAACUGUUAAGAGGAAGUUUGCUUCUAAGUAGCGUGGAGCAAGGGUGGAUAGAGGUAUACAUGAAAAGUUUUAAAAAAUUGUGAAAAACUAUUUGGGAACUAAUCGUUCCAAGUAGUUGAGGCACAGGGGUACAUAGAAGCAGGAAACGAGACUAGGAAGGGGAGAUGGUGGCAGUAGAUGUAAUACUUGGGUCAUGAAGCGCAUUUACUGCCAUCACAGGCCAAUGGAUUUCAAACCACCGUGGCCGCCUGGGUUUGUGGUGUUGCCCCCCGUGGUGCUAAACAGAGAGGACACCAGGUCACUGACCUUUUUUAAUAAGAACAGCUUUGUGUUCUGUUUUAUUAAAUCAGGCUUCUCGGUGAUAUUUUAUUUAAAAACAGGAUUCUGAGGAUUUCCAAUUUUUUCUCUAACCAUUCGGGGAACACUUGACUAUUUUAAAGACUAUUACUUAAGUUGUCCUGCAGAAGAUUAGAGAGAAACCGGCUAUGAGAUUUGUGCUAUCACCAAUGAAUGAACGAUUUGUUUUGAGGGGAAUUUAGCUAACGAAGAUUUGGUCCAGGAAGUAAACAUUUUAUGAUAAUGUUUGUCAUCGUUUUUUCCUCAGUUCACAAAGGACAACCAAGAGGAUGUGGAAAUAGGCUCAUUCCUCUAACAAAGUCAGUCUCUCUGAGCAUCUGCUAGAGUACUGGCUGGAACCCAGUUCCCUCCCUUUUCCCCGUUUUGGCAGAGCCUGCUCCUUGCAGUCUCAGCAUCUUUGAGCACAGUCUCUAGCCUGGUCCUCCCGUGCACCGUGACUGAGAGUGCAGGGAGGUAGGGAAUGAUGCCAGCUAUUUGAGUUCAUGGUGACCGCCUCUAUCACUGCUGCCCUGUCUCAGCUACCGCCGCCUCAGACGUGCCCCACCACAUCUACCCGAGAGUACGUAGCUUCUUAGAGCAGCUGAGCUCCAGAUUGUAAAAGCUCAGAGGCAGCCACCUUUUCUUCCCUUAUCUCCAUGACCUUGGAGUCUGCCAUGACCUUGGAGUCUGCCAUGACCUUGGAGUCUGCCUAGGAAAACCCACUGACCUUCCCUCCUAUUACUGUCCUCUGGAGCUGAUGUCUCCCUGACCCCUAUGCCUUCAAGUCACACACCCAUCCACCAAGUCCCUGUGGCUAAUAAAAAUUAGCUAUUAACAAUCCAUUCUUACAGUGAAAAUGGUUUAGAUAUAUCCUCAGCGUUCUCCACCCCCACCGGCUUUCACUUCACUCCAUCCUGGUUCUACUUGGUUUCUAAUAGAUUGGCUUUGUAGGUUUUGGUCUUUUUCUAAAACCUUGCCCUUGCCCCUCUGACUUGGUGCUUGAGUGAUUCUUCCCGAGUUCUUUUUUGCUUUUCAAGACAAUUCUUAGCAGUCUUGAAUUUUGGAACUCCUUGAGAAUCUAAUGAUAGCUAAAGACUUUCUCCAAAAAGUGCAUACACGCACAGUGUUUUGUCUAUAAUCUCAAUCUCUAGAUUUUUAAAGCUGUGCUCAAUGCAUCUGGAAUCCUUUUGGUGGUUGUGGUGGGAAUUGUUUGAUAAAAAUGCAGUGUUCUUGUCUCUACCCCUUACCUAUUAAAUCAGAAUUCCUGGUGGUAGAGUCGAGGAAUCGGCAAUUUAAACAGUAUCCCUGUUAACUCCUACCCCUGCUUACCUUUUAAGUGCACUAAAAUUGAGAGAGUCUGCUCUAAUGAUUCAGUUUAUCAUCAUAGCCUAUCUUUUCUUCCCCUCCCAGCCACUUACCUAUGGCUACAGGAGUUCAAAUUCUAGAGUCCUGGUCCUCACCUAAAGAAAAAGACUACUUUUCUCUGGGGCUAUAGUGAAACCCCUUGUUAAAGAAACUCUAGAGCCCAACAAUGCGACUAGGUCUCUUUCAUUUCCAGGCAUGGUUCUAAAUUGAGAGAGCCAAGUCAUGUCUAAGAAAGCCACAUUUCCCCUCUUCCUUUCAUUCAUCUUUCAUCAAUACUUUCUGUAUUUACUUUCCCCUAUCAUGAAUGGAAAUUCCCUGUUCUGGAGAUGCAGAUUCCCACCCAAGGCAAGAUGUCUUGUGCUUUUGCAUGUUUGUUUUCCUCAUCUCAGGUGUGUUAUUCAUGUGGCUAGCCAGUGGUCCAGAGUUAGAACCUUGAAAUGAGAUUCAGGAGCACAAUGCCCAGGAUUAGAAAUGGUAGAGGAAAAAGGAAAAAGUCUCAAACUGAUAGACUUCCUGACUUCUUUCAACAGGUGUUGUUUUAAAUCAGCCUUGCAGAUAAAUUGGUUCCAUCUUGGAGUUUCCAUCCUGGCUCAGCGGUAAUGAGCCCUAACCUGACUAGUACCCAAGAGGAUGCAGGUUUGAUUCCUGGCCCUGCUCAGUGGGUUAGGGAUCCGGCGUUGCUGUGAGCUGUAGCGUAGGUUGCAGACUCGGCUCGGUUCUGGCGUUGCUGUGGUUGUAGCAUAGGCCUGUGGCUACAGCUCCAAUUCGACCCCUAGCCUGGGAGCCUUCGUAUGCCAAGGGUGCAGCCAUAAAAAAGAAAAAAAUUCUUUCCAUCUUUUUUCAAAGAAGUAGGACAGUGUACUUCCUUGGUAGAUCCAAAAAUGUUGUGUUCCCCUUCUUACCCUUGCCAUAAGUAAAUAUGCCUAAUGAAAUAACAGCAACAAAGUGGGGUAGAGGAAUACAAGUAAACAGGUUUGCAGAGUUAAACCUAAAUGCUAGCUGGUCCAGGUACAUCCUUGAGGUUCAAAACUGACGACAGAGUAGGGAAGGCCAUUGAAUAACUUUCUUUUAAUCGAUUAUUUUACUGGCUAUAAAUUUUUAAUGUGAUAAUUGAAAAAAAAUUUAGAAAGUAUGGAAAGUUACUUUUUUUUUUUGGCUAUUCCUUCGGCAUGCAGAAGUCCCAUGGCCAGGGAUCAAACCCUCGCCACAGCAGCCACAAAGCCAGAUCCUUAACCUGCUGAGCCACCAGGGAGCUCCUGUUCUUAUUUUUUUAAAGAAGAAGAUAAGUCAGUUAUAAUCCUGGGUCCUACCAUCCAGAGGCAACUACUAGUAACAUUUGGCAUUCUUCCAUCUAGUGUUUUCCUACUUUAAAAAAAAAAAUAAUAGAACUCAUGCAAUACAAACAACCCAGUUAACGGCUUUGCUUGUCUAACGUUGUUUUAUAACAUCUCCCAGUUAAUUAUUCAAGACCAUAACUUUUCAUGGCUGCAUGACGUUUAAUCAAAUGGAUAUACCAUUAUUUAUUUAACUUUUGCUCAGUUGUUGGAUACUUAGGUAUAAUGCUUAUGUAUAAUAUUAUAAGUAUUAUAGUGUUAUAUGCUAUAAUAAACAUCUUUGUGCAU
RNAcentral lists this long non-coding RNA (8091 nucleotides) under Sus scrofa (pig). RNAcentral's name for it is "lncRNA (ENSSSCG00055020389.1)". Lineage: Eukaryota; Metazoa; Chordata; Mammalia; Artiodactyla; Suidae. The record is from RNAcentral.